AAUCAACGCUGGCGGCGUGCCUCAGACAUGCAAGUCGAACGAUUAAAGCUCUCUUCGGAGAGUGCAUAGAGUGGCGCACGGGUGAGUAACACGUAAGUAAUCUACCUUCGAGUGGGGAAUAACACCGAGAAAUCGGUGCUAAUACCGCAUAAUGCAGCGGCAUCGCAAGAUGACAGUUGUUAAAGAUUUAUCGCUUGAAGAGGAGCUUGCGGCAGAUUAGCUAGUUGGUAAGGUAAUGGCUUACCAAGGCUACGAUCUGUAACCGGUCUAAGAGGACGGUCGGUCACACUGACACUGAA
This 299-nucleotide ribosomal RNA is filed under the name uncultured bacterium. RNAcentral describes it as "partial 16S ribosomal RNA". It matches the Rfam family "Bacterial small subunit ribosomal RNA", at positions 32 to 323 of the family's 1533-position model. The record is from RNAcentral.